RNAcentral lists this ribosomal RNA (253 nucleotides) under uncultured bacterium. RNAcentral's name for it is "partial 16S ribosomal RNA". It matches the Rfam family "Bacterial small subunit ribosomal RNA", at positions 524 to 776 of the family's 1533-position model. The record is from RNAcentral.
GACGUAGGGCGCGAGCGUUGUCCGGAUUUAUUGGGCGUAAAGCGCGUGUAGGCGGCCAGGUAGGUCUGCUGUGAAAACUCGAGGCUCAACCUCGAGAUGUCGGCGGAAACCAUCUGGCUAGAGUCCGGAAGAGGAGAGUGGAAUUCCCGGUGUAGUGGUGAAAUGCGUAGAUAUCGGGAGGAACACCAGUGGCGAAGGCGGUCGACUGGCUGAGUUCUGACACUGAGGCGCGACGGCGUGGGGAGCAAACCGG